Molecule: ribosomal RNA, 543 nt
Filed under: uncultured bacterium
Lineage: Bacteria
Description: bacterial SSU rRNA
Rfam family: Bacterial small subunit ribosomal RNA
Source: RNAcentral
GGCAUGCAGUCGGACGGGAUUUACACCUUCGGGUGUAAUGAGAGUGGCAGACGGGUGAGUAACGCGUAGAUAUCUACCUUAUAGUAAGGAAUAGCUCAUCGAAAGGUGGGGUAAUACCAUAUAGUUCCCUCCGGGGUAAAGGCUUCGGCCGCUAUAAGAGGAGUCUGCGUCCUAUCAGGUUGUUGGUGGGGUAAUGGCCUACCAAGCCUAUGACGGGUAGCCGGUGUGAGAGCACGACCGGCCACAAGGUCACUGAGACACGGGACCUACAUCUACGGAUGGCAGCAACCGGGAAUUUUGCGCAAUGGGCGAAAGCCUGACGCAGCGACACCGCGUGUGGGAAGAAGUUCUUCGGAAUGUAAACUACUGUGGCAGGGGAAGAAAUUUUGACUGUACCCUGCUAUAAAGCACCUGCUAACUACGUGCCAUAAGCCUCGGUAAUACCUACGGUGCAAGCGUUAUCCGGAUUUACUGGGCGUAAAGAGUUCCGUCGGCGUCUUUGUAAGUUGCUUGUUUAAAGCCUAAGGCUCAACUCUAGAUCAG